GAACAGUCUGGAAAGUCUGGUCAUAGCGGGUGAUAGCCCCGUACACGAAAAACUGCAUGAGAUGAAAUCGAGUAAGGCGAGGCACGUGAAACCUUGUCUGAAUAUGGGGGGACCAUCCUCCAAGGCUAAAUACUCGUAAUCGACCGAUAGUGAACCAGUACCGUGAGGGAAAGGCGAAAAGAACCCCGGGAGGGGAGUGAAAUAGAUCCUGAAACC
Molecule: ribosomal RNA, 216 nt
Filed under: Aureoumbra lagunensis
Lineage: Eukaryota; Pelagophyceae; Sarcinochrysidales; Sarcinochrysidaceae
Description: partial Bacterial large subunit ribosomal RNA
Rfam family: Bacterial large subunit ribosomal RNA
Source: RNAcentral